CCCGGCGGCAAUAGAACAUUGGAACCACCUGAUCCCAUACCGAAACCGAACUCAGAAGUGAAACGAUGUAUCGCCGAUGGUAGUGUGGGGUUUCCCCAUGUGAGAGUAGGUCACUGCCGGGC
RNAcentral lists this ribosomal RNA (122 nucleotides) under Solemya velum gill symbiont. The record is from RNAcentral. Lineage: Bacteria; Pseudomonadati; Pseudomonadota; Gammaproteobacteria.